GGUGGCUCAGUGGGUAGAGUGCUUGCCUUGCAUGCAUGAGGCCCUGGGUUCAAUUCCUCAGCACCA
Molecule: transfer RNA, 66 nt
Filed under: Dipodomys ordii (Ord's kangaroo rat)
Lineage: Eukaryota; Metazoa; Chordata; Mammalia; Rodentia; Heteromyidae
Rfam family: tRNA
About the family: Transfer RNA (tRNA) molecules are approximately 80 nucleotides in length. Their secondary structure includes four short double-helical elements and three loops (D, anti-codon, and T loops). Further hydrogen bonds mediate the characteristic L-shaped molecular structure. tRNAs have two regions of fundamental functional importance: the anti-codon, which is responsible for specific mRNA codon recognition, and the 3' end, to which the tRNAs corresponding amino acid is attached (by aminoacyl-tRNA synthetases). tRNAs cope with the degeneracy of the genetic code in two manners: having more than one tRNA (with a specific anti-codon) for a particular amino acid; and 'wobble' base-pairing, i.e. permitting non-standard base-pairing at the 3rd anti-codon position.
Source: Rfam by way of RNAcentral